Molecule: non-coding RNA, 188 nt
Organism: Caenorhabditis elegans
Lineage: Eukaryota; Metazoa; Nematoda; Chromadorea; Rhabditida; Rhabditidae
Source: Ensembl
ACACACACUCACACACAUACACAGAUUCAUACACUCAGUUACAUACUCGUAUACACACCCUGAUCGGCGGCGGCGGCCCGCACCAUCACCAAACCACUGUGGCAUGGGGUGGGGGAACUACUUGUGGAGGGGAGAAGAGGGCAGGACCCCGUCCAAACGAGACGAGCCAAUUGUCAAGGACAAAGGCG